ACUCUUUCCCCGCGCCGAUGCUGCGCCUAUAUUCGUGAGUGCCACUCGCAAGAGCGGCUAUGGCGAUAAACGGAUUUCGGAAUAAGCCUUUCGGACCCGGGGGCGGUACCCGGCGCCUCCACCAAAGCCCUGAUUUCGCAGGGUUUUGGCGGGGGCGAAAUAGGAUCGACGAGGGUGUAAAAGUUAUCCUUUUGCUCGGCAUGGUUCCGCCGUUAUCGGGCCAAAGCAUAGUUGCCAACGACAACAAUGCUCGGGUUGCUGUCGCCGCGUAAGCGGUGCUGGUUCCCAAACCAAAGUCCUUGCGCUUAGCCGCGUAAGGCGGGGCUCGGAGGCGCCUGGCAACAGAAGCCUCCACU
Molecule: transfer-messenger RNA, 356 nt
Filed under: Allobosea sp. F3-2
Lineage: Bacteria; Pseudomonadati; Pseudomonadota; Alphaproteobacteria; Hyphomicrobiales; Alloboseaceae
Description: Bosea sp. F3-2 transfer-messenger RNA
Rfam family: Alphaproteobacteria transfer-messenger RNA
About the family: Bacterial tmRNA, also known as 10Sa RNA or SsrA, is named for its dual tRNA and mRNA-like properties. Its role is to liberate the mRNA from a stalled ribosome.
Source: RNAcentral